RNAcentral lists this ribosomal RNA (256 nucleotides) under uncultured bacterium. RNAcentral's name for it is "partial 16S ribosomal RNA". It matches the Rfam family "Bacterial small subunit ribosomal RNA", at positions 521 to 776 of the family's 1533-position model. The record is from RNAcentral.
UAAUACGGAGGGUGCAAGCGUUACUCGGAAUUAUUGGGCGUAAAGCGCGUGUAGGCGGUUUGGUAAGUCUGAUGUGAAAUCCCUGGACUCAAUUCAGGAAGUGCAUUGGAUACUGCUAGACUAGAGUUUUGGAGAGGUGAACGGAAUUCCUGGUGUAGAGGUGAAAUUCGUAGAUAUCAGGAGGAACAACAGAGGCGAAGGCGGUUCACUGGACAAUAACUGACGCUCAGACGCGAAAGCGUGGGUAGCAAACAGG